UGACCUAUAGUGUAACGGUAGCACACCAGAUUUUGAUUCUGUUUGCCUAGGUUCGAAUCCUAGUAGGUCAA
This 71-nucleotide transfer RNA is filed under the name Saprospiraceae bacterium. RNAcentral's name for it is "tRNA-Gln". It matches the Rfam family "tRNA". From Rfam's summary of the family: Transfer RNA (tRNA) molecules are approximately 80 nucleotides in length. Lineage: Bacteria; Pseudomonadati; Bacteroidota; Saprospiria; Saprospirales; Saprospiraceae. The record is from RNAcentral.